GGCCUGGCUGAUCUGUCCUCCUAAUCGAGCGCACGGAUUCGGUCGGGCCUUUCCUUCCUGAUGAGCCGUAAUGCCAUUAAUUUGGUGUUGCGGGGAAUUUGGACUGUUACUUUGAAAAAAUUAGAGUGUUUAAAGCAAGCUAACGCUUGAAUACAUUAGCAUGGAAUAAUGAAAUAGGACGUUCGAUCCUAUUUUGUUGGUUUCUAGGAUUGACGUA
Molecule: ribosomal RNA, 217 nt
Filed under: Campeiostachys nutans
Lineage: Eukaryota; Viridiplantae; Streptophyta; Magnoliopsida; Poales; Poaceae
Description: Elymus nutans partial small subunit ribosomal RNA
Rfam family: Eukaryotic small subunit ribosomal RNA (bases 50-217)
Source: RNAcentral